Molecule: ribosomal RNA, 253 nt
Filed under: uncultured bacterium
Lineage: Bacteria
Description: partial 16S ribosomal RNA
Rfam family: Bacterial small subunit ribosomal RNA
Source: RNAcentral
UACAGAGGGUGCGAGCGUUAAUCGGAAUUACUGGGCGUAAAGGGCGCGUAGGUGGUGAAGUAAGUAAGAUGUGAAAUCCCUGGGCUUAACCUGGGAAGGUCAUCUUAGACUGCUUGACUGGAGUACGGUAGAGGGUAGUGGAAUUUCCGGUGUAGCGGUGAAAUGCGUAGAUAUCGGAAGGAACACCAGUGGCGAAGGCGGCUACCUGGACUGAUACUGACACUGAGGCGCGAGAGCGUGGGUAGCAAACAGG